Molecule: ribosomal RNA, 94 nt
Filed under: Streptococcus equinus
Lineage: Bacteria; Bacillati; Bacillota; Bacilli; Lactobacillales; Streptococcaceae
Description: partial 16S rRNA. Bacterial SSU
Rfam family: Bacterial small subunit ribosomal RNA
Source: RNAcentral
AUUAAAUGAGAGUUUGAUCCUGGCUCAGGACGAACGCUGGCGGCGUGCCUAAUACAUGCAAGUAGAACGCUGAAGACUUUAGCUUGCUAAAGUU